AACGAACGCUGGCGGCAUGCCUAACACAUGCAAGUCGAACGAGACCUUCGGGUCUAGUGGCGCACGGGUGCGUAACGCGUGGGAACCUGCCCUUAGGUUCGGAAUAACUCCCCGAAAGGGGUGCUAAUACCGGAUAAUGUCUUCGGACCAAAGAUUUAUCGCCUUUGGAUGGGCCCGCGUUGGAUUAGCUAGUUGGUAGGGUAAAAGCCUACCAAGGCGACGAUCCAUAGCUGGUCUGAGAGGAUGAUCAGCCACACUGGGACUGAGACACGGCCCAGACUCCUACGGGAGGCGGCAGUGGGGAAUAUUGGAAAAUGGGCGAAAGCCUGAUCCAGCAAUGCCGCGUGAGUGAUGAAGGCCUUAGGGUUGUAAAGCUCUUUUACCCGGGAUGAUAAUGACAGUACCGGGAGAAUAAGCUCCGGCUAACUCCGUG
Molecule: ribosomal RNA, 433 nt
Filed under: uncultured bacterium
Lineage: Bacteria
Description: partial 16S ribosomal RNA
Rfam family: Bacterial small subunit ribosomal RNA
Source: RNAcentral